RNAcentral lists this ribosomal RNA (206 nucleotides) under uncultured bacterium. RNAcentral describes it as "partial 16S ribosomal RNA". It matches the Rfam family "Bacterial small subunit ribosomal RNA", at positions 568 to 774 of the family's 1533-position model. The record is from RNAcentral.
CUCGUAGGUGGCCAACUAAGUCAGACGUGAAAUCCCUCAGCUUAACUGGGGAACUGCGUCUGAUACUGGAUGGCUUGAGAUUGGGAGAGGGAUGCGGAAUUCCAGGUGUAGCGGUGAAAUGCGUAGAUAUCUGGAGGAACACCGGUGGCGAAGGCGGCAUCCUGGACCAACACUGACACUGAGGAGCGAAAGCCAGGGAGCAAACG